GUGAGGGCCGCUAAAGCUCGCUCCCUCUCCGCCUCCAACUCGGAACCAACAGGAGUCGGAUCGCUCGACCCCGACGGAAAUAUCUCCGCCGCGACUCCCGGCCGUUCUCGACGAGCCGCAGCUGGUGCAGCCACCAGCCGAUCCACCGUUUCUUGGAGUCUUUUCAUUUGUUCCUCCUGGCGCAUUGCAGCUUCCUGCUGACGCUGCACCACAUCAGCCUGUUGCCUCACCACCCUCACGAGUGUGGCCAGCUGUUCACGAAGCUCUGAGUCUCCGCUCGCAUCGAUUUGCUUGGGAACACCACUUGUCCCCUCCCGCGCCGAUCUGGACGAAGAUCGCCUACGCGGUGCCAUCGUUUUCUGAAACACGACAACUCGAUUAGUUCUCGACCAACUUGGGUCGAACACGAGACUACCAACACCGGCUCAAAAGCCAAUCAGGCGAAAGUCACACAAGGGUGUCUAUUCUCAUCACUCGGUUUCAUAUUGUGUGCACCCAACAUGAACACCCUCGAUUGAGAAUAAACAUUACCUUGGAUCUACCUCUAAUAUCUGUUUUAGAGGUUUCGACACAACCCAAUCCAUUAACCUUUCGCCACAAUCACAAGUCCUCGUCUCUCACGAGCCUUAUUCUCUUAUGGUUUUACUAUCCUAGGGUCUCCUAGGUCAUCUAAACCAUUUUCCCAUUCUCUACUUUAUGCUCUGAUACCAUCUUCUGUCACAGCCCGCGACCACUCGCCUAUUUGGCCGAGGUCGCGGCGCCGACAGCGCCGAACGGACAAGGUUUCCCCUGUACUGCGGACAGAGUCUCCCCUGUACGUUCAAGGCAUCGCAAUCAAUACAAUACGAAUGUUCCAACCAGGAACUGAUAUCAAUCAAGAUUGCAUAAUGGAAGGUAUCAAACAACAUAAACACAUCCUAUGUUAUUACACGCAUUCACAUUCACAGAUUUUUACAUCACAGUUCUUUAUACAUUCUCUUUUUUUUUUAUCCAAAUGCAAUCUAGUUAUUACAAAUUUAUUUACAAAUUGAUACAUUGUUUCUUUUCAUUUUCUAUACCCCUAGCCACGUCGACGGGGUACUGCUAGCUCUGGUCUCUGGGUAGGGCGCUAUCUAUGGAGCUACGCCCUUUCCUCGCGCCGCCGCGCCGCUCACGUGCGAACCUGUACCCCCAAAAGCAACACGGGGGUGAGAACUAUAUAAAUAUAGUUCCCAGUGGGUACGGCCACCCAAGGGAAAAGCUCGACCAAAAGGUCCAAGGAGGCACUGCAAUCAUGUUAGUCCAAAAACAUCUAUAGAUAUAUAUCAAAAUGUUAAUAUGCAACUAACAGAUAACAUGCCUCACGAAAUGCAAUAUGCAACUAUCAAAAAGCUCUUUGCUUGUCUUUACAUUUUAGCUAUUUGCUACCAUUCAUUUCCUGCAAUUACUAGCUAUUCCUUAGCAUUAGCCUUUUCAUUAUCUUUCAUUUUCUUUUUCUUUCUUUGCUCUUUAUUCUUUGUACUUGUACUUGGUGCUCUACACCUUACACUUGGGCCCACUAUACUCAUUGGCAAAUUCUUUCUUAAGGUUGCUCUUACCUUAAUCACACUAUGCCACCCGACUCGGUCUUGAGUCAAUCAUCUGCGGAUAGUCCGCGCUCUGUCCGGCUCAAGGUGAAGGACCUCUCACUUACACCUUAGCCUUCAAUCCAUAAUCAAGUCGCCCAACGGGUCGCCCAGAGCUGCGUACACCCGUGGUCAGGGAUCUUUCCGGUGGGAAGGGGAUUAUGCCACAAACUCAACCCGCGGCCCAAGACCCCCGAUAGGGAAGGGGAACAUGCCACACUCAACCCUAGCGAAGCACGAUUCUGCCGGCGGGAGGGGGAACCUGCCACACUCGACCCGCGGCCUCGAUUCAGUCAACAGCUCAUCCUCGAAGUUCGUCCAGUGGGAGGGGAACCUGUCACACUCAACCCACUGCUCUAGAACUGUCGAGUUCACAAUCCUAAGAUUCCGGAAUCUAUUUCCCAAGCCUCUAGGGUAAUCUCAAACCCUAUGAUAUCGACCUAUCUAGGUCCAAUGCACUUUCCAUCCUAGGUCUACCCGACUCUAGGUUUAACGCCCUUAUUACAUAACCAAUGUUCUUUAAACUAGGUUAAUACCUCUCUACCUAGGUUUUUAUUAACCCUAGGUUCAACAACACUAGAAUCAAUGUCAACCUAUGUUCAUAACGCUAGGUUAAUGCCACUCGAUCUAGCCUAGGUUCACGACACUAGGUUCAACAUCAAUCUUAUUCAUCCUAGGUUCUCAAUCCUAGGUUCAUAUUCGACCUAUGUUAAUUACACUAGGUUCGAUAUCAUUCCUGUUUAACCUAUGUUUACUAACACUAGGUUCAAUGCUACUCGAUCUAUAGGUGCAUUUAAGUCCAUAUACACAAGUCCUUUACUUGGCAUUCUUUAACAUGCAACAUGCAUUCAUACAUUAUCUUUUGCAUUCUUACAUUAACCUUUCUAUGCAUGCAUCACGGCCACCACGUAUUAUAUACUUUAUGCUUGUCACUUAGCAUGAUUUACACUAUGUCACUAUGCAUUACUUAGCAUUCUUAACAUGUACUUGUAUUUACUAUUUCCAUAUCAUGCUUAUCAUUAUACUUUAGCAUUCUUAUCUCAUGCAUUCUACUUGGCGUUUGUAUCAUGUUAUCAACAUCAUGCUUUCUACUUAGCAUCUUGCUCUAAGCACUAUCGUUAACAUGCAUCAUUUAUAUUAUUUACCAACAUGCAUUUUAUAAUCUCUAUAUCAUUUACAUGCAUCAACUUAGCAUUUAUACUUUAUUUCGCAUGCUCUCUAGCAUUUAUCAACAUGCAUUUAUCAGCUUGCAUUCAUUAUCAUUCAUUUCUAUAUGCAUCAUAAGAAAUCAUAUUUUCUUAGACAUAAAGGCGACCUAGUCGCUUCGGUAAACCAACCCACCUCGAUUCGCGUUCCGAUUGCUUGUCGACACUUGCAAUCGGCCUCCCGCGGCACCCGUAUCCGGCACGGCCCGAUACUGCAACUGCGCCUCAACCGUGCUCCGCUUCGCAGCCCCGAAAAUUAUAGGUCUUCGGUUAUGUGCCACGAUACCUCAAAUCCAUUUCCAUGAUUUUACGACGUCGCCUCGGCCCUCCCGGCGGACCCGAAGCCUAAACGUUUAUUUCUUUAAUAAUUUUGUAACGGCUCGUCGGAUUGCCGAACCGUCUUUGCCAACGCGUUUCGUUACCUAGCAAUUAGGUUUACGAAGGGUCAAAUGAGAUUAAACCCGCAUAUUUUGAAAGUUUGCAUUUUGGAGCCCUAGGUUACAACUAUGCAAGAAAUCACUAAAUUGAUCCAUGAUUCAAGCAUUAAUUAUCUAGAUAGCAUGCUAGGACUCCUCUAAAUCCAUUUAUAAGGUAUUUAAAUCAAGCAUUAAAGAUCUACCAUUAAAGGGCUCAAGAAGCUCACCUCAAAAUGAGCUCCAAACCAUGGAGAAGAUGAAAAAGACGAAGACGAUCCACCUCCAAGCUUCAAUCUCCACCAAAUCCAUUCUUUUUGGGAGAGAUUUAGAGAGAGAAAGAGAGGCUUCUCUCUUCCCUUCCAUGCGCGUG
Molecule: long non-coding RNA, 3595 nt
Filed under: Ananas comosus (pineapple)
Lineage: Eukaryota; Viridiplantae; Streptophyta; Magnoliopsida; Poales; Bromeliaceae
Description: long non-coding RNA (ACOM_LNC043906)
Source: RNAcentral